GAUGAACGCUGGCGGCGUGCCUAACACAUGCAAGUCGAGCGAUUUAAUUCGGUAAAGAGCGGCGGACGGGUGAGUAACGCGUGGGUAACCUGCCCUGUACACACGGAUAACAUACCGAAAGGUAUGCUAAUACGAGAUAAUAUGCUUUUAUCGCAUGGUAGAAGUAUCAAAGCUCUUUCGGUACAGGAUGGACCCGCGUAUGAUUAGCUGGUUGGUAAGGUAACGGCUUACCAAGGCGACGAUCAGUAGCCGACCUGAGAGGGUGAUCGGCCACAUUGGAACUGAGACACGGUCCAAACUCCUACGGGAGGCAGCAGUGGGGAAUAUUGCACAAUGGGCGAAAGCCUGAUGCAGCAACGCCGCGUGAGCGAUGAAGGCCUUCGGGUCGUAAAGCUCUGUCCUCAAGGAAGAUAAUGACGGUACUUGAGGAGGAAGCCCCGGCUAACUACGUGCCAGCCGCCGCAGUAA
Molecule: ribosomal RNA, 468 nt
Filed under: uncultured bacterium
Lineage: Bacteria
Description: partial 16S ribosomal RNA
Rfam family: Bacterial small subunit ribosomal RNA
Source: RNAcentral